Molecule: ribosomal RNA, 581 nt
Filed under: uncultured bacterium
Lineage: Bacteria
Description: bacterial SSU rRNA
Rfam family: Bacterial small subunit ribosomal RNA
Source: RNAcentral
CCAGACUCCUACGGGAGGCAGCAGUGGGGAAUAUUGGACAAUGGACCAAGAGUCUGAUCCAGCAAUUCUGUGUGCACGAUGAAGUUUUUCGGAAUGUAAAGUGCUUUCAGUUGGGAAGAAAGAAAUGACGGUACCAACAGAAGAAGUGACGGCUAAAUACGUGCCAGCAGCCGCGGUAAUACGUAUGUCACGAGCGUUAUCCGGAUUUAUUGGGCGUAAAGCGCGUCUAGGUGGUUAUGUAAGUCUGAUGUGAAAAUGCAGGGCUCAACUCUGUAUUGCGUUGGAAACUGUAUAACUAGAGUACUGGAGAGGUAAGCGGAACUACAAGUGUAGAGGUGAAAUUCGUAGAUAUUUGUAGGAAUGCCGAUGGGGAAGCCAGCUUACUGGACAGAUACUGACGCUGAAGCGCGAAAGCGUGGGUAGCAAACAGGAUUAGAUACCCUGGUAGUCCACGCCGUAAACGAUGAUUACUAGGUGUUGGGGGUCGAACCUCAGCGCCCAAGCAAACGCGAUAAGUAAUCCGCCUGGGGAGUACGUACGCAAGUAUGAAACUCAAAGGAAUUGACGGGGGCCCGCACAAG